Molecule: ribosomal RNA, 539 nt
Filed under: uncultured bacterium
Lineage: Bacteria
Description: partial 16S ribosomal RNA
Rfam family: Bacterial small subunit ribosomal RNA
Source: RNAcentral
UGGGGAAUAUUGCACAAUGGGCGAAAGCCUGAUGCAGCGACGCCGCGUGCGGGAUGAAGGCCUUCGGGUUGUAAACCGCUUUUAAUUGGGAGCAAGCGAGAGUGAGUGUACCUUUUGAAUAAGCACCGGCUAACUACGUGCCAGCAGCCGCGGUAAUACGUAGGGUGCAAGCGUUAUCCGGAAUUAUUGGGCGUAAAGAGCUCGUAGGCGGUUUGUCACGCCUGGUGUGAAAGUCCAUCGCUUAACGGUGGAUCUGCGCCGGGUACGGGCAGGCUAGAGUGCAGUAGGGGAGAUUGGAAUUCCCGGUGUAACGGUGGAAUGUGUAGAUAUCGGGAAGAACACCAAUGGCGAAGGCAGAUCUCUGGGCUGUUACUGACGCUGAGGAGCGAAAGCAUGGGGAGCGAACAGGAUUAGAUACCCUGGUAGUCCAUGCCGUAAAACGGUGGAUGCUGGAUGUGGGACCCUUCCACGGGUUCCGUGUCGGAGCUAACGCGUUAAGCAUCCCGCCUGGGGGAGUACGGCCGCAAGGCUAAAACUCU